GGGGAGCNUUACUGGNNCAGUCGAGGGGCAUCGGGAGGGAAGCUUACUUUCCUUGCCGGCGACCGGCGCACGGGUGAGUAACACGUAUGCAACCUGCCCUCUUCAGGGGGACAACCUUCCGAAAGGGAGGCUAAUCCCGCGUAUAUCGGUUUCGGGCAUCCGUUAUCGAGGAAAGAUUCAUCGGAAGAGGAUGGGCAUGCGGCGCAUUAGCUAGACGGCGGGGUAACGGCCCACCGUGGCGACGAUGCGUAGGGGUUCUGAGAGGAAGGUCCCCCACACUGGUACUGAGACACGGACCAGACUCCUACGGGAGGCAGCAGUGAGGAAUAUUGGUCAAUGGGAGAGAUCCUGAACCAGCCAAGCCGCGUGAGGGAAGACGGCCCUAUGGGUUGUAAACCUCUUUUGUCGGAGAACAAAACCCGGGACGUGUCCCGGACUGCGUGUAUCCGAAGAAAAAGCAUCGGCUAACUCCGUGCCAGCAGCCGCGGUAGUACGGAGGAUGCGAGCGUUAUCCGGAUUUAUUGGGUUUAAAGGGUGCGUAGGCGGUCUGUUAAGUCAGCGGUAAAAUUGCGGGGCUCAACCCCGUCGAGCCGUUGAAACUGGCAGACUUGAGUUGGCGAGAAGUACGCGGAAUGCGCGGUGUAGCGGUGAAAUGCAUAGAUAUCGCGCAGAACUCCGAUUGCGAAGGCAGCGUACCGGCGCCAGACUGACGCUGAGGCACGAAAGCGUGGGGAUCGAACAGGAUUAGAU
Molecule: ribosomal RNA, 750 nt
Filed under: uncultured bacterium
Lineage: Bacteria
Description: bacterial SSU rRNA
Rfam family: Bacterial small subunit ribosomal RNA
Source: RNAcentral